AAAAGAGGAGCGGCAGAACAUGAGUACCGCGUGCGGAGGAAGAGAAUAAGGCUUUUCCGUUAUUACGCCCGCGGAAAAGGGUAUCGCCGCCGAAGCGUGCCGGACGCCUUAUGCGGCGCGCUGGGAGUACGGGAGAAUACCUUUAUUCCUGUCACCGCCCCCGGUGAAGCGCUUUUU
RNAcentral lists this non-coding RNA (177 nucleotides) under human gut metagenome. Its description in RNAcentral is "Lysine riboswitch". It matches the Rfam family "Lysine riboswitch aptamer". Rfam says of the family: Riboswitches are metabolite binding domains within certain messenger RNAs that serve as precision sensors for their corresponding targets. Allosteric rearrangement of mRNA structure is mediated by ligand binding, and this results in modulation of gene expression. This family includes riboswitches that sense lysine in a number of genes involved in lysine metabolism, including lysC. RNAcentral also lists the same sequence under 1 other name. The record is from RNAcentral.